RNAcentral lists this non-coding RNA (134 nucleotides) under Arthrobacter cupressi. RNAcentral describes it as "TPP sequence". It matches the Rfam family "TPP riboswitch aptamer (THI element)". From Rfam's summary of the family: Vitamin B(1) in its active form thiamin pyrophosphate (TPP) is an essential coenzyme that is synthesised by coupling of pyrimidine and thiazole moieties in bacteria. Lineage: Bacteria; Bacillati; Actinomycetota; Actinomycetes; Micrococcales; Micrococcaceae. RNAcentral also lists the same sequence under 1 other name. The record is from RNAcentral.
UGAUAACGACAGGGGAGCGCCGCCGUCGGGCUGCAGGAGCAGAACGAAGGAAGGGCGCUGAGAGUGCGGAACACCGCAGACCCUCGAACCUGAUCCGGUUAGUACCGGCGCAAGGGAGUCGAGUUCUCAGAGUG